UACGUAGGGGGCAAGCGUUGUCCGGAUUCAUUGGGCGUAAAGAGCGUGUAGGCGGCCAGGUAGGUCGGUUGUGAAAACUGGAGGCUCAACCUUCAGAGGUCGACCGAAACCAUCUGGCUAGAGUCCGGGAGAGGAGAGUGGAAUUCCUGGUGUAGCGGUGAAAUGCGUAGAUAUUGGGAGGAACACCGGUGGCGAAGGCGGCUCUCUGGACCGGUACUGACGCUGAGACGCGAAAGCCAGGGGAGCAAACGAG
RNAcentral lists this ribosomal RNA (253 nucleotides) under uncultured bacterium. RNAcentral describes it as "partial 16S ribosomal RNA". It matches the Rfam family "Bacterial small subunit ribosomal RNA", at positions 524 to 776 of the family's 1533-position model. The record is from RNAcentral.